Molecule: long non-coding RNA, 574 nt
Filed under: Marmota monax (woodchuck)
Lineage: Eukaryota; Metazoa; Chordata; Mammalia; Rodentia; Sciuridae
Source: RNAcentral
CUCAGCGCCCGGGAGUGACUGACUCCCGCCAGCCCCUCCACGUCAAUCAACCCUCCUCCUUCUCGCACUCUCCGCACCUUGUUAUUAAUCUCAAAACCGAUAUCGCCCGGACGCCUCUCCCCCAGCCUUCGGGGGUGUGAACGUGUGUGAGCGAGAGCGAAGGCACCGAAAGCUGGCGUCUUUGCUCGGCCUCGGCCCCAGCAGCAUUCGGCGCAGCAGCAACCCCCGCAGCGGCGGCAGCCCCAGCGCCAGGAGGCCAAGGCCAAGGCCAGGCUCUGUGAGGCCCUCGGAGCAAUAGCCGCGGCUGCGGGGGCGCAGCUUCUUCUGGCUGGGGCCUUCACGUCAGCGGCCGCGGCGCCUCUCCUGCGCGCCCAGGGUCACCGUCCUCGAAGUCCGGCGGCGCGGCCUUCGUCCCCCUCCCCGCCCCCCGAUCCGUCUCCUCUCUCCCUUCAGCCGCCCUCCGCGCCGCCGCCCCUGCCGUUCCUCAGGCGGCCCGGCCCGCCCGCCCCGCGUCCCCUCCGGCCGGUGCCUCUCCCCCCGGCGGGCUGCCUGCAUGUCUUUGCUGCCCUCAGCC